RNAcentral lists this unclassified non-coding RNA (246 nucleotides) under Hevea brasiliensis (rubber tree). Lineage: Eukaryota; Viridiplantae; Streptophyta; Magnoliopsida; Malpighiales; Euphorbiaceae. The record is from RNAcentral.
GAACUUGUCGGUUUUCUCUUUUCAAUGCAAUUCCAUAUCAUGUAAUUUUGUCAUUUUCUGCAUGUAUGGGAGCAUAGUUCCACAUUGCCACAGCCAAAGGAUUCACUUGAAGCAUAUAUGGACUAAGGUUCCACAAGGAGUUCUUACAGUUCAAAAUUUGAAAUCAAUUUAUGUUUCAUGAGAUUCUGAAAAAUCUCUUUCCUGCCUCCAUAGCAAGAGUCUGUUUUCUUUGGCAACUUCAACACC